Molecule: ribosomal RNA, 511 nt
Filed under: uncultured bacterium
Lineage: Bacteria
Description: bacterial SSU rRNA
Rfam family: Bacterial small subunit ribosomal RNA
Source: RNAcentral
GACGAACGCUGGCGGCGUGGAUUAGGCAUGCAAGUCGAACGGUAUCAUCCUUUCGGGGGUGAGAGAGUGGCGAACUGGUGAGUAACACGUAGGUUAUCUACCCUCAAGACGGGGACAACCCAGGGAAACUUGGGCUAAUACCGGAUGUGAGCAACUUUUAGUUGUUUGAAAGGUGGCGUAAGCUGUCGCUUGGGGAUGAGCCUGCGUCCUAUUAGUUAGUUGGUGAGGUAACGGCUCACCUAGGCAAAUGAUAGGUAGGCGGCCUUAACGGGUGGUCGCCCACACUGGGAUUGAGAUACGGCCCAGACUCCUACGGGAGGCAGCAGUCGAGAAUAGUCUACAAUGGCCGGAAGGCUGAUAGUGCGACGCCGCGUGAAACGAGGGAGCCCUUCGGGUGUAAAGUUCUUUUCUAUACGAGCAGUGCUAUAUAUAUGGAUAGUAUAUAAUAGAGGAUAGUAGUAUAGGAAUAAAGCAACGGCUAAACUCCGUGCCAGCAGCCGCGGUAAGACGU